AAGAGAGGUCAUUAGAAUUGACACAAGAAUUGCAUGAGGGAGGAGAUGGCCAAGACUACAGGAUCAUGCCAGAAUCAGAACAGAAGCUGUGUCCUGUAUCAGAAUCUGAAAAAGCCCAAGUUGCAUGAAUGAAGGAUCUGCAGGUGAUUCAUAGGCUCGGAGAAGUUGGAGAAGCUCCGGUCUAGGUACGCCUGCCGAGAUUCUCAGGAGUGCAGAAAGUGGGAAACCGUCAGCAGUACCAGCCAUCACCAGCACUGACACCCAGGAUGCCAUUAGGAAGAGGUCCAAGACUAGCAGGGCAGCCGCUGUGAGCCUGGAAACUGCUUGGGUGCCUUGAGAUGGGCUGUUACAUCCACGGUGGCUCAGGGCUUCCUCUAUGAAGCAUCGACUCUCCUGGGCUUUCAGCUGGACAUUCAGGAUUCAAAGAUGAGUGCAGAGUCACAGAGACAAACGAGACCCAGUGCUGCGGGGACACAGAGGCCGGGGCCAAGAAUUCCUCCAGGUGGCUCAUGCCUGUAAUCCCAACACUUUGGAAGGCCAAGCGG
This 545-nucleotide long non-coding RNA is filed under the name Homo sapiens (human). Its description in RNAcentral is "HSALNT0294515". Lineage: Eukaryota; Metazoa; Chordata; Mammalia; Primates; Hominidae. The record is from RNAcentral.